Molecule: transfer RNA, 72 nt
Filed under: bacterium SM23_31
Lineage: Bacteria
Also listed under: 1 other name
Description: tRNA-Arg
Rfam family: tRNA
About the family: Transfer RNA (tRNA) molecules are approximately 80 nucleotides in length.
Source: RNAcentral
GCGCCCGUGGCUCAACGGACAGAGUGCUGGAUUCCGGAUCCAGAGAUGAAGGUUCGAUUCCUUCCGGGCGUA